CGGAAUUCAUUUUCCACCUGGAACGGAAUAUCGUAUCAUGAACUCCGGGCGAAAAUUGUUUCACUUCUAACAAUUCGAACAUCAACAGCUGUUCUUACAAAAGCUGAUAUUUGCCAACAGUACGCAUAAUUAUACUAUAAAUAAGUUUUGAGAGUUUUUAUUAAUAUUGGAGUUAUAUUAAACAAAAAUGUUUCGCAUAGCUUAACGCUCACUAAUUGAAGAAAAUAGAGAAGUGGAAAAUGGUCAAAUCGAAAGAAUAAUUCGCCGGAACUUAAGAGAUCGCUCUAAUCCUCUGGAUUUACCAAAUGAAUUGUUUGUGCAGCACUAUAGGGUAAAUAAAUCCGUAUUUAUUUAUCUGUUAGAUGAGCUAAAGUUGGCAUUGCCAAAAGGCAGAAAAGCAUUUGCUAUCCCUAUGCAUAUAAAACUUGCGGCGUGCUUGAGGUUUUUUGCUGAAGGAGGGUACCAAAAAGGAAUUGCUCGGGAUAGAGGAUUUUCAUUGGGACAGUCUUCUUUCAGCAAGGUGUUGGCAGAGGUAUUGGACGCACUUCAACGUAAAUUGUGUCUAAAAUGGAUAAAAUGGCCUACACAUGAGGAGAGAAGAGAAAUUUCUCAACAUUUUUAUACGAAGUACAGGAUACCCGGGGUCAUUGGAUGUGUUGACGGGACAAAUGUUGGCAUUAUUGCUCCAGAACAAAAUAAGCAUUUAUAUUAUAACCGAAAAGGAUUUUACAGUUUAAACGUCAUGAUCGUAUGUGACGAUGAACAAAGAAUUCGGUGCAUAGAUGCCAAGCAUCCCGGAU
Molecule: long non-coding RNA, 800 nt
Organism: Rhagoletis zephyria (snowberry fruit fly)
Lineage: Eukaryota; Metazoa; Arthropoda; Insecta; Diptera; Tephritidae
Source: RefSeq, a predicted model, not a curated record